This 253-nucleotide ribosomal RNA is filed under the name uncultured bacterium. RNAcentral's name for it is "partial 16S ribosomal RNA". It matches the Rfam family "Bacterial small subunit ribosomal RNA", at positions 524 to 776 of the family's 1533-position model. The record is from RNAcentral.
UACGAAGGGUGCAAGCGUUACUCGGAAUUACUGGGCGUAAAGCGUGCGUAGGUGGUGAGUUAAGUCUGUCGUGAAAGCCCCGGGCUCAACCUGGGAAUGGCGAUGGAAACUGGCUCGCUAGAGUGCGGUAGAGGAGAGUGGAAUUCCCGGUGUAGCAGUGAAAUGCGUAGAGAUCGGGAGGAACAUCAGUUGCGAAGGCGGCUCACUGGACCGGAACUGACGCUGAGGCGCGAAAGCGUGGGGAGCAAACAGG